This is a non-coding RNA of Pseudomonas syringae, 83 nucleotides long. NCBI's taxonomy places the organism in Bacteria, Pseudomonadati, Pseudomonadota, Gammaproteobacteria, Pseudomonadales, Pseudomonadaceae. The record is from Rfam.
GGCCCAGCCAUUGCUACACACAUGCAAAGGCUAUCAACGACGAUGGUCAUCUAUCAGGCAACACCUCACGACAAAGGCGCCGU